Molecule: ribosomal RNA, 528 nt
Filed under: uncultured bacterium
Lineage: Bacteria
Description: bacterial SSU rRNA
Rfam family: Bacterial small subunit ribosomal RNA
Source: RNAcentral
CCGGGAAUAUUGGACAAUGGGCGAAAGCCUGAUCCAGCGACGCCGCGUGCGGGAUGAAGGCCUUCGGGUCGUAAACCGCUGUGGAGAGGGAAGAAGUUCUGACGGUACCUCUCUAGAAAGUGACUGCUAACUACGUGCCAGAAGCCUCGGUAAUACGUAGGUCACAAGCGUUAUCCGGAAUCAUUGGGCGUGAAGAGUUUCGUAGGCGGCGAGGAAAGUGGCAGGUUAAAGACCCCGGCUCAACCGGGGGGACUGCUUGUCAAACUACCUCGCUAGAAUUAGUUCGGGGAUGUUGGAAUUCUCGGUGGAGGGGUGAAAUCCGUUGAUAUCGAGAAGAACACCAAAGGCGAAGGCAGACAUCUAGGACUUAAUUGACGCUGAUGAACGAAAGCUAGGGGAGCGAACUGGAUUAGAGACCCAGGUAGUCCUAGCCGUAAACAAUGGAUACUAGCUAUUUCCGAAGCAAUUUGGGGGUGGCGCAAGCUAACGCGUUAAGUAUCCCGCCUGGGGAGUACGAUCGCAAGAUUA